GAAGACUCUUUCCCAGGAUAAACAUCUCGGAUAUGCUGAAUUCUUAUCUCAUCACAUGGCUUCCAGAUCUCUCUCCUUCCUUGUCUUCUGCCACUUCUGGGGGCCUACUGGUUCAACAUCUCUGAAAGGGUGGUCAAGGUAGGCCUUAUUGAAAAUGGACUUGGAAACAAAGGAAACAAAGAAGUUAGCCAUGAAGGUAUCUAGAAAGGAAUGCUCUAGGCGGAGAAAAGCACCAUGCAAGGACACUGAGUACCCACCCUAGGUGUAGGGAAUUCACCAUCCCUCCAGGUCUUGCCUCCCUGCAUGAGCCAACGUGCUUUUCCAGCUCUGCUUUUAUCAAGAGUAGAAAGGACAUCACAUGUGAAUGGCUGAAGAACUGGAAAUGUUUAACCUGCAGAAGAGAAGAUUUUGGUGGGGGGAGGCUGGUGAAGGAAGCCAUUGAUAGAGAACUCUCUAAAUAUUUGGAGA
Molecule: long non-coding RNA, 468 nt
Organism: Lutra lutra (Eurasian river otter)
Lineage: Eukaryota; Metazoa; Chordata; Mammalia; Carnivora; Mustelidae
Exons: 3
Source: RefSeq, a predicted model, not a curated record